GUCGCACCGCUCCACCCAUCACAGCAGAUACACGCCAUGGCAUUCCAGGUUGUGCUCUUGUGCGCCUUGCUGGGCGCAGCCAGCGCCGGCUACCUGGGCGCGCCCGCCGUCUCCUACUCGGCGGCGCCAGCGCUGCGGGGCUACGGGGCAGCAGGUCUAGCAGGCCUGCCCGGGUACGCGGGCGCCCUGGCGCCGGCCGCGGCCGCAGCGCUGUCGCCCGCCGCCAGAGCCGCCGCAGCCGCC
RNAcentral lists this long non-coding RNA (243 nucleotides) under Schistocerca americana (American grasshopper). Its description in RNAcentral is "uncharacterized LOC124609542". The record is from RNAcentral. Lineage: Eukaryota; Metazoa; Arthropoda; Insecta; Orthoptera; Acrididae.